Molecule: ribosomal RNA, 253 nt
Filed under: uncultured bacterium
Lineage: Bacteria
Description: partial 16S ribosomal RNA
Rfam family: Bacterial small subunit ribosomal RNA
Source: RNAcentral
UACGAAGGGGACUAGCGUUGUUCGGAAUUACUGGGCGUAAAGCGCGCGUAGGCGGAUCGCUAAGUUAGGGGUGAAAUCCCAGGGCUCAACCCUGGAACUGCCUUUGAUACUGACGAUCUGGAGAUCGGGAGAGGUUGGUGGAAUUCCGAGUGUAGAGGUGAAAUUCGUAGAUAUUCGGAGGAACACCAGAAGCGAAGGCGGCCAACUGGCCCGAUACUGACGCUGAGGCGCGAAAGCGUGGGGAGCAAACAGG